This 446-nucleotide ribosomal RNA is filed under the name uncultured bacterium. RNAcentral's name for it is "partial 16S ribosomal RNA". It matches the Rfam family "Bacterial small subunit ribosomal RNA", at positions 338 to 795 of the family's 1533-position model. The record is from RNAcentral.
CCUACGGGAGGCAGCAGUCGAGAAUCAUUCACAAUGGGGGAAACCCUGAUGGUGCGACGCCGCGUGGGGGAAUGAAGGUCUUCGGAUUGUAAACCCCUGUCAUGUGGGAGCAAAUUAAAAAGAUAGUACCACAAGAGGAAGAGACGGCUAACUGUGUGCCAGCAGCCGCGGUAAUACAGAGGUCUCAAGCGUUGUUCGGAAUCACUGGGCGUAAAGGGUGCGUAGGCUGUUUCGUAAAGCGAGUGUGAAAGGCGCGGGCUCAACCCGCGGACGGCCGAUGAUACUGGGAGACUAGAGUAAUCGAGGGGGAACCGGAAUUCUCGGUGUAGCAGUGAAAUGCGUAGAUAUCGAGCGGAACACUCGUGGCGAGGGCGGGUUCCUGGACAUUAACUGACGCUGAGGCACGAAGGCCCGGGGAGCGAAAGGGAUUAGAUACCCGAGUAGUC